UAGGGAAUUCGGCAAUGGACGGAAGUCUGACCGAGCAACGCCGCUGAGUGAAGAAGGUUUUCGGAUCGUAAAGCUCUGUUGUAAGAGAAGAACGAGUGUGAGAGUGGAAAGUUCACACUGUGACGGUAUCUUACCAGAAAGGGACGGCUAACUACGUGCCAGCAGCCGCGGUAAUACGUAGGUCCCGAGCGUUGUCCGGAUUUAUUGGGCGUAAAGCGAGCGCAGGCGGUUAGAUAAGUCUGAAGUUAAAGGCUGUGGCUUAACCAUAGUAGGCUUUGGAAACUGUUUAACUUGAGUGCAAGAGGGGAGAGUGGAAUUCCAUGUGUAGCGGUGAAAUGCGUAGAUAUAUGGAGGAACACCGGUGGCGAAAGCGGCUCUCUGGCUUGUAACUGACGCUGAGGCUCGAAAGCGUGGGGAGCAAACAGGAUUAGAUACCCUGGUAGUCCACGCCGUAAACGAUGAGUGCUAGGUGUUAGACCCUUUCCGGGGUUUAGUGCCGCAGCUAACGCAUUAAGCACUCCGCCUGGGGAGUACGACCGCAAGGUUG
Molecule: ribosomal RNA, 547 nt
Filed under: uncultured bacterium
Lineage: Bacteria
Description: bacterial SSU rRNA
Rfam family: Bacterial small subunit ribosomal RNA
Source: RNAcentral